Molecule: ribosomal RNA, 427 nt
Filed under: Escherichia coli
Lineage: Bacteria; Pseudomonadati; Pseudomonadota; Gammaproteobacteria; Enterobacterales; Enterobacteriaceae
Description: bacterial SSU rRNA
Rfam family: Bacterial small subunit ribosomal RNA
Source: RNAcentral
AGCUAAUACCGCAUAACGUCGCAAGACCAAAGAGGGGGACCUUCGGGCCUCUUGCCAUCGGAUGUGCCCAGAUGGGAUUAGCUAGUAGGUGGGGUAACGGCUCACCUAGGCGACGAUCCCUAGCUGGUCUGAGAGGAUGACCAGCCACACUGGAACUGAGACACGGUCCAGACUCCUACGGGAGGCAGCAGUGGGGAAUAUUGCACAAUGGGCGCAAGCCUGAUGCAGCCAUGCCGCGUGUAUGAAGAAGGCCUUCGGGUUGUAAAGUACUUUCAGCGGGGAGGAAGGGAGUAAAGUUAAUACCUUUGCUCAUUGACGUUACCCGCAGAAGAAGCACCGGCUAACUCCGUGCCAGCAGCCGCGGUAAUACGGAGGGUGCAAGCGUUAAUCGGAAUUACUGGGCGUAAAGCGCACGCAGGCGGUUUGU